AACGAACGCUGGCGGCAGGCUUAACACAUGCAAGUCGAACGGGUGUAGCAAUACAUCAGUGGCAGACGGGUGAGUAACACGUGGGUGAUCUGCCCUGCACUUCGGGAUAAGCCUGGGAAACUGGGUCUAAUACCGGAUAGGACCCUGGGAUGCAUGUCCUGGGGUGGAAAGCUUUUGCGGUGUGGGAUGGGCCCGCGGCCUAUCAGCUUGUUGGUGGGGUGAUGGCCUACCAAGGCGACGACGGGUAGCCGGCCUGAGAGGGUGACCGGCCACACUGGGACUGAGAUACGGCCCAGACUCCUACGGGAGGCAGCAGUGGGGAAUAUUGCACAAUGGGCGCAAGCCUGAUGCAGCGACGCCGCGUGAGGGAUGACGGCCUUCGGGUUGUAAACCUCUUUCAGCACCGACGAAGCGCAAGUGACGGUAGGUGCAGAAGAAGGACCGGCCAACUACGUGCCAGCCGCCGCAGUAA
Molecule: ribosomal RNA, 472 nt
Filed under: uncultured bacterium
Lineage: Bacteria
Description: partial 16S ribosomal RNA
Rfam family: Bacterial small subunit ribosomal RNA
Source: RNAcentral